Molecule: ribosomal RNA, 490 nt
Filed under: uncultured bacterium
Lineage: Bacteria
Description: partial 16S ribosomal RNA
Rfam family: Bacterial small subunit ribosomal RNA
Source: RNAcentral
AUUGAACGCUGGCGGCAGGCCUAACACAUGCAAGUCGAACGGUAACAGGAAACAGCUUGCUGUUUCGCUGACGAGUGGCGGACGGGUGAGUAAUGUCUGGGAAACUGCCCGAUGGAGGGGGAUAACUACUGGAAACGGUAGCUAAUACCGCAUAACGUCGCAAGACCAAAGAGGGGGACCUUCGGGCCUCUUGCCAUCGGAUGUGCCCAGAUGGGAUUAGCUAGUAGGUGGGGUAACGGCUCACCUAGGCGACGAUCCCUAGCUGGUCUGAGAGGAUGACCAGCCACACUGGAACUGAGACACGGUCCAGACUCCUACGGGAGGCAGCAGUGGGGAAUAUUGCACAAUGGGCGCAAGCCUGAUGCAGCCAUGCCGCGUGUAUGAAGAAGGCCUUCGGGUUGUAAAGUACUUUCAGCGGGGAGGAAGGGAGUAAAGUUAAUACCUUUGCUCAUUGACGUUACCCGCAGAAGAAGCACCGGCUAACUCCGUG